AUACUUACCUGGCAGAGGAGACACCAUGAUCACAAAGUGGUUUUCCCAGGGCAAGACUGAUCCAUUGCACUCUGGAUGUGCUGACCCCUGCGAUUUCCCCAGAUGCAGGAAACUCGACUGCAUAAUUUGUGGUAAUGGUGUUCUGCAUUCACACUGCACUCUCCCC
Small nuclear RNA from Phodopus roborovskii (desert hamster), 166 nucleotides. RefSeq annotates it as U1 spliceosomal RNA. The record is from RefSeq and is a predicted model, not a curated record. The transcript has a single exon. Lineage: Eukaryota; Metazoa; Chordata; Mammalia; Rodentia; Cricetidae.